CUGGUGGCAUAGGUCAGGAAAGGCCCUCGAGAUAACCCAGAGAGUAGUAAACACAGGAAGCAGCUACUAACCUGAGGGCUGGGGGAACACAGGGGAAGAGAUGGUGUUACCAGAACCUAGAGGCUUUGAUGGGGGACCCCCCACGGCCGGCGC
Pipistrellus kuhlii (Kuhl's pipistrelle) is the source of this 153-nucleotide long non-coding RNA. RefSeq lists it as uncharacterized. The transcript is spliced from 3 exons. The record is from RefSeq and is a predicted model, not a curated record. NCBI's taxonomy places the organism in Eukaryota, Metazoa, Chordata, Mammalia, Chiroptera, Vespertilionidae.